This is a non-coding RNA of Quaeritorhiza haematococci, 73 nucleotides long. The record is from the annotation of a GenBank genome assembly. NCBI's taxonomy places the organism in Eukaryota, Fungi, Chytridiomycota, Chytridiomycetes, Quaeritorhizaceae.
GCAUGAGUAGUAUAGCGGUAGAAUUCUUGCCUUCCAAAAACAAGAGGCCCGGGACCGACUCCCGGCUCAUGCA